GAUGAACGCUGGCGGCGUGCCUAAUACAUGCAAGUCGAGCGAACAGAUGAGGAGCUUGCUCCUCUGACGUUAGCGGCGGACGUGUGAGUAACACGUGGAUAACCUACCUAUAAGACUGGGAUAACUUCGGGAAACCGGAGCUAAUACCGGAUAAUAUAUUGAACCGCAUGGUUCAAUAGUGAAAGACGGUUUUGCUGUCACUUAUAGAUGGAUCCGCGCCGCAUUAGCUAGUUGGUAAGGUAACGGCCUACCAAGGCAACGAUGCGUAGCCGACCUGAGAGGGUGAACGGCCACACUGGAACUGAGACACGGACCAGACUACUACGGGAGGCAGCAGUAGGGAAUAUUCCGCAAUGGGCGAAAGCCUGACGGAGCAACGCCGCGUGAGUGAUGAAGGUCUUAGGAUCGUAAAACUCUGUUAUUAGGGAAGAAAAAAUGUGUAAGUAACUAUGCACGGCGUGACGGUAACUAAACAGAAAGCAACGGCUAACUACGUG
Molecule: ribosomal RNA, 497 nt
Filed under: uncultured bacterium
Lineage: Bacteria
Description: partial 16S ribosomal RNA
Rfam family: Bacterial small subunit ribosomal RNA
Source: RNAcentral